Long non-coding RNA from Balaenoptera musculus (blue whale), 365 nucleotides. RefSeq lists it as uncharacterized. The record is from RefSeq and is a predicted model, not a curated record. The transcript has 3 exons. Lineage: Eukaryota; Metazoa; Chordata; Mammalia; Artiodactyla; Balaenopteridae.
CAGCGCCCACGGGAAGAACCUGCGCGUCGCCGUCUGCAGGAGCCCCGGCCCAGGAAAGGCGCCGCCGGGGUCCAGUGAGCGCGUGGGGCCGCGAGAGCGAGAGGAAACUUCCUUUUCGGGCCUGACUGCGGAGGGGAGCUUUGCCGCGGCUUCGCACAGUCUUUCAUUUUCUGCACCUGCCUCUGCGUCCAUCCUUCCCUUCCUGGGACAUCAUGACAUCCUCAAAAAAUACACACACACUUCUAAGAAGAUGUGACAAUCUGCACUGAUAUGAGCUGCAAGAGAAAAACUGUUUGCUUGGAAGUGCUUUUUCACAGCCAUUAUGGGGUCUUCACAGCUCAGGGGCGUCCUUCCAUACCCAACUA